GUCCACACUGUAAACGAUGAUUACUCGAUGUUGGCGAUACACAGCCAGCGUCUUAGCGAAGCGAUAAGUAAUCCACCUGGGAGUACGCCCGCAAGGGUGAACUCAAGGAUUGACGGGUCCGCACAAGCGGUGGAGCAUGUGGUUUAAUUCGAUGAUACGCGAGGAACCUUACCUGGGCUAGAAUGCCCUUGACAGAUCCAGAGAUGGAUUCUUCCGCAAGGACAAGGAGCAAGGUGCUGCAUGGCUGUCGU
This 251-nucleotide ribosomal RNA is filed under the name uncultured bacterium. RNAcentral's name for it is "partial 16S ribosomal RNA". It matches the Rfam family "Bacterial small subunit ribosomal RNA", at positions 793 to 1055 of the family's 1533-position model. The record is from RNAcentral.